RNAcentral lists this microRNA precursor (84 nucleotides) under Helianthus annuus (common sunflower). RNAcentral's name for it is "microRNA MIR1846". The record is from RNAcentral. Lineage: Eukaryota; Viridiplantae; Streptophyta; Magnoliopsida; Asterales; Asteraceae.
CCGUUCGAUCGGGUGGGCCAUUCGAUCGGCUGGUCCAGCCGAUCGGCUGGGCCACUCGAUCGACUGGGCCGCUCGAUCGACUGG